This 347-nucleotide transfer-messenger RNA is filed under the name bovine gut metagenome. It matches the Rfam family "transfer-messenger RNA". From Rfam's summary of the family: Bacterial tmRNA, also known as 10Sa RNA or SsrA, is named for its dual tRNA and mRNA-like properties. Its role is to liberate the mRNA from a stalled ribosome. The record is from RNAcentral.
GGGGUUGUACAGGUUUCGACGGGAGUUUUGAAAUUGCAUAAGCCAUUCGUGGACCAGAACCACGUUAAAAGCUGGAAAUCUAAAUAUAAACGCAGAAGACAAUUUUGCAUUAGCUGCCUAAGGGCGGCUGGUCGGUCUUAGGGUUCCUGUCCCUUAAGGUUACCGGCUUCAUCCUGACAGGGAACUCGUUGACUUAAGCUUUGCGGUCUUCGAAGAAUUAUGAAGCUACCAAGAACUGUAUCCCGUUCGUAGGUUACAGAUCAAGGGAAUGAAUCUAUGCGGACUAUAAUGGAAGAAAGUGCAGUGAAUGAAUUUUCGGACGCGGGUUCGAUUCCCGCCAGCUCCAC